GGUAGUGUAUCAUAGUGGUAAUGAGGAGGGCUCACAACCGAGUGGUUGCUGGUUCGAUUCCCCACUUGGCCACUGCUG
Molecule: non-coding RNA, 78 nt
Organism: Megalops atlanticus (tarpon)
Lineage: Eukaryota; Metazoa; Chordata; Actinopteri; Elopiformes; Megalopidae
Source: the annotation of a GenBank genome assembly